GUCAGCAGCUCCCACACCAGCUGCUGCUGUCCGGCCUCCAGCCUCCGUGCCUUCGGGCAUGCAGUUCCCUCCACCGGGUCCGCCCUUCCUCACCCUUCACGUCCAGCCCCACAGGGAAACCUCCCUCGACUCUGCACCUGCCUCCACUGCUUGUGUCCUCAUGGGGCUGUGAGGUCUUGGGGAUGCCAACGUCUCCUUUCUACCCAGUGUCCCCAGGGCCGGGAACAGGCAGUUGCUCAGUAAAUGCAGACGGAGGAAGGGAAGGAAGGAGGGAGCGGAGGAGAGGAUGGGGUGUCCUCAGAGGCCGCACCGAAAGAGCAAAGACUUUGGCAUGAGACAGACCUGAGUUCACGUCCAGGCCGUACCUGGAGGGGCCAGCGGGUUCUCAGGCAGGUGCGCCUGGGCUCCACACCUUUUGCCUCACCCUAUUUGGAGCAGGAUCACGGGGAGUUUCCACGCGGAAGGACCAUGUCUGCUGCCAAUCAGGAUGCAAGGGAAUUACACCCAGGUUGCAGAUGUGUUCUCUGACUGCUUCAUGAGCUAGGCGUGCUUAGGCAGAAAGUUCUCUAUUCUCUGAGGCUAGGGAUGGUAAAGCUGCAAGGCUCUGAGGACUGACCCUGAGCAGCGGUGUUCAAUCCCCUUGGAUGCUGAAAACGUCUUGCCAGCAAUGCCUUGCGUGGGCACCCAGUAUAUACAACGGAUAAAAACUGAGCUGCUCUGCUUGAACUGGGGUGUUGAAGGCAGUCCUGGGGAAGGGUCCAGAGUCCCAUUUGCCCUGUUGCCCUGGAUCCUGAGGAGAUGGGGUUGGGACUGCUCCUGGUGGUGGAUCAGGGUAGCCGGGAUGCAGACCUCUGUGGACAGAGCCCAGCAGCUGAUAUUUACCAGCUGGUAUGAAAGGACUUCCAUAUACUCAAAACCGCAUGCUCAUGCCAAUGCUUUUGGGCCAAUGAACUCAUGUUUCACAGCAAGAAGUCAGACUAUACAACAAAAAUGAUAAUGUGUCUUUGCAAAAAAUCUUAAUGACGUCAACCUUUUAAUGUCCCCACGGUUUCUUCUCUUAAACUUGGAAGGAUAUUUUAUUGAAAAUAUCUCUUGUAUAAAAGAACUAUGUAUAUGAACCCAGCAACUCCAUUAGCUUCCCUUUCUUCUUCUUUUGUUUAAAUUCAAGUAAAAUUAAA
Molecule: long non-coding RNA, 1178 nt
Organism: Zalophus californianus (California sea lion)
Lineage: Eukaryota; Metazoa; Chordata; Mammalia; Carnivora; Otariidae
Exons: 3
Source: RefSeq, a predicted model, not a curated record